AAAUCGAAACUCAUCUGUCCCGGACAGCAGCGGCACGGGAGAGAGUCGAGGGCGGAAACUCGAGUUAACUGCUUGAGAGGAGGCCACGCGUUAUUCAGAUUUUUCUGGGCGAUUCAGGGACGGAAGCGAUUCAGAAAAUCCACGGCAGGCUGAAUCCUUCUCCUUUUCUUCCACUUCCUUGAUUCUCCUCUUCCAAAGGAAAUUUGCAAGCCAGGACAGACGCACCAAAGUUAGGACCCUAAUGGGCCUCCUGUGACAGCAUAAGUGGAGACUGAGUGGACCUGAGAUGAAUCACUCUCUUUGCUGUGGGUGUCUGCCUCUACCUGCGAAAAACAGCGUGGCUUAGUGGAAAGAGGAGCCCGGACCUGGGAG
Molecule: long non-coding RNA, 372 nt
Organism: Ornithorhynchus anatinus (platypus)
Lineage: Eukaryota; Metazoa; Chordata; Mammalia; Monotremata; Ornithorhynchidae
Exons: 3
Source: RefSeq, a predicted model, not a curated record